UGAGGAAUAUUGGUCAAUGGACGGAAGUCUGAACCAGCCAAGUAGCGUGCAGGACGACGGCCCUAUGGGUUGUAAACUGCUUUUAUAUGGGGAUAAAGUGGGCCACGUGUGGCUUAUUGCAGGUACCAUAUGAAUAAGGACCGGCUAAUUCCGUGCCAGCAGCCGCGGUAAUACGGAAGGUCCGGGCGUUAUCCGGAUUUAUUGGGUUUAAAGGGAGCGUAGGCCGGAGAUUAAGCGUGUUGUGAAAUGUAGACGCUCAACGUCUGCACUGCAGCGCGAACUGGUUUCCUUGAGUACGCAUAAAGUGGGCGGA
Molecule: ribosomal RNA, 313 nt
Filed under: uncultured Prevotella sp.
Lineage: Bacteria; Pseudomonadati; Bacteroidota; Bacteroidia; Bacteroidales; Prevotellaceae
Description: bacterial SSU rRNA
Rfam family: Bacterial small subunit ribosomal RNA
Source: RNAcentral